Molecule: ribosomal RNA, 489 nt
Filed under: uncultured Entrophospora
Lineage: Eukaryota; Fungi; Glomeromycota; Glomeromycetes; Entrophosporales; Entrophosporaceae
Description: SSU rRNA
Rfam family: Eukaryotic small subunit ribosomal RNA
Source: RNAcentral
AGCAGCCGCGGUAAUUCCAGCUCCAAUAGCGUAUAUUAAAGUUGUUGCAGUUAAAAAGCUCGUAGUUGAAUUUCGGGAUUGGCGCAUCGGUCGUGCCUCACGGGGUAUGAACUGGUGCAGUCAAUUUCUCACCUUCUGGAGAACCGCGAUGUCCUUAAUUGGAUGCCGCGGGGAACCAGGACCUUUACUUUGAAAAAUUAGAGUGUUUAAAGCAGGCAUUUUUGCUUGAAUACAUUAGCAUGGAAUAAUAAAAUAGGACGGCAUGGUUCUAUUUUGUUGGUUUCUAGGACCACCGUAAUGAUUAAUAGGGAUAGUUGGGGGCAUUAGUAUUCAAUUGUCAGAGGUGAAAUUCUUGGAUUUAUUGAAGACUAACUACUGCGAAAGCAUUUGCCAAGGAUGUUUUCAUUAAUCAAGAACGAAAGUUAGGGGAUCGAAGACGAUCAGAUACCGUCGUAGUCUUAACCAUAAACUAUGCCGACUAGGAAUCAG